RNAcentral lists this transfer RNA (59 nucleotides) under uncultured Succinivibrio sp. Lineage: Bacteria; Pseudomonadati; Pseudomonadota; Gammaproteobacteria; Aeromonadales; Succinivibrionaceae. The record is from RNAcentral.
UCUAAUGGUAGAGCAGCGGUCUCCAAAACCGACGGUUGAGGGUUCGAGUCCUUCUGCCC